This 550-nucleotide ribosomal RNA is filed under the name uncultured Bacillus sp. Its description in RNAcentral is "bacterial SSU rRNA". It matches the Rfam family "Bacterial small subunit ribosomal RNA", at positions 355 to 896 of the family's 1533-position model. Lineage: Bacteria; Bacillati; Bacillota; Bacilli; Caryophanales; Bacillaceae. The record is from RNAcentral.
UAGGGAAUCUUCCACAAUGGACGAAAGUCUGAUGGAGCAACGCCGCGUGAGCGAUGAAGGCCUUCGGGUCGUAAAGCUCUGUUGUUAGGGAAGAACAAGUACCGGAGUAACUGCCGGUACCUUGACGGUACCUAACCAGAAAGCCACGGCUAACUACGUGCCAGCAGCCGCGGUAAUACGUAGGUGGCAAGCGUUGUCCGGAAUUAUUGGGCGUAAAGCGCGCGCAGGCGGUCCUUUAAGUCUGAUGUGAAAGCCCACGGCUCAACCGUGGAGGGUCAUUGGAAACUGGGGGACUUGAGUGCAGAAGAGGAAAGCGGAAUUCCACGUGUAGCGGUGAAAUGCGUAGAGAUGUGGAGGAACACCAGUGGCGAAGGCGGCUUUCUGGUCUGUAACUGACGCUGAGGCGCGAAAGCGUGGGGAGCAAACAGGAUUAGAUACCCUGGUAGUCCACGCCGUAAACGAUGAGUGCUAAGUGUUAGGGGGUUUCCGCCCCUUAGUGCUGCAGCUAACGCAUUAAGCACUCCGCCUGGGGAGUACGGCCGCAAGGCUG